This 968-nucleotide long non-coding RNA is filed under the name Panax ginseng (ginseng). RNAcentral's name for it is "long non-coding RNA (PGIN_LNC013252)". Lineage: Eukaryota; Viridiplantae; Streptophyta; Magnoliopsida; Apiales; Araliaceae. The record is from RNAcentral.
UUAACAAAAAAACUAGUAACAUAUCAGUUCCCAGCUGCCGAUGUCUUUUUCUUCUAUCUUUAAUUCUCUCUCACCUCUCACCUCUCACCUCUCACCUCUCACUGGCAGCACCCUCCUCGCCACCGUUAACAGGCCCUUCUCCUCCUCCUCGCCACCGUUAGCUGUACUUUCUCCUCCUCCUUCCGUCGGUUCCUCCUCCUCCACCUUGUUUGGAUGUUAAGCAGUCUUUCACCAGCUCCUCCUCCUCCUCCCUGUUCCGCCGGUUCUUCCACUGUUAGCUGAAAAUUUCUUCUUCUCAUGUUAGUGAAUGAUCAAUAUAUAUAUGCCCUAAUUUAGUAAAUUAAAUUUUGUCUGCCCUAAUUUUGAAUUCCCCUAAUUAUCAGUUAAUAUUCAAGGUUAAUGCAAGAAUUCGUAAAAAAAUUAGUAAAUAUUUCAUUCAAUGUACAUGUCAACUGAAAUUUUGAUAAUUUUGUGCCCUAAUUUGUCAUUUACCGAAAUUGGUAAUUCUGAAUAAUUGUUGAAUCUGAAAUUAGGACGUCGACAAUAGUGGAAUCUGCAUAUUGAGUUCAAUUCAAUUUGUUGAAUAUUGCAUACUGAAAUUGGAGCCUUGUCAUUCAAUUUGUUUUCUUCUGAAAUUGGGAAUCUGCAUAUUGAGUUGAAUGCUAGCUGAAAUUGGAGCCUUGUCAUUCAAUUUGUCACGUCUGAAAUUGGGAAUGUGCAUAUUGAGUUGAAUGUUAGCUAAAAUUGGAGCCUUGUCAUUCAAUUUGUCACGUCGGCUGAAACUUUUUUAUGUUACUAAUGAAUCUAAUAAUUGAUUCAAGUUGGGUUUAAUUUGUGCAAUUUUGUCAUUCAAUUUGUCACGUCGGCUGAAACUUUUUUAUGUUACUAAUGAAUCUAAUAAUUGAUUCAAGUUGGGUUUAAUUUGUGCAAUUUUCAUAUUUAUAAUUUGAUAUUGAGGCUGAUGUUAG